Molecule: non-coding RNA, 29 nt
Filed under: Homo sapiens (human)
Lineage: Eukaryota; Metazoa; Chordata; Mammalia; Primates; Hominidae
Source: RNAcentral
GAGCGUGACCAGCCUGUGGACUGCGCCCC